This 465-nucleotide ribosomal RNA is filed under the name Vreelandella stevensii. Its description in RNAcentral is "partial 16S ribosomal RNA". It matches the Rfam family "Bacterial small subunit ribosomal RNA", at positions 338 to 795 of the family's 1533-position model. The record is from RNAcentral. Lineage: Bacteria; Pseudomonadati; Pseudomonadota; Gammaproteobacteria; Oceanospirillales; Halomonadaceae.
CCUACGGGAGGCAGCAGUGGGGAAUAUUGGACAAUGGGGGCAACCCUGAUCCAGCCAUGCCGCGUGUGUGAAGAAGGCCCUCGGGUUGUAAAGCACUUUCAGUGAGGAAGAACGCCUGGUGGUUAAUACCCAUCAGGAAAGACAUCACUCACAGAGGAAGCACCGGCUAACUCCGUGCCAGCAGCCGCGGUAAUACGGAGGGUGCGAGCGUUAAUCGGAAUUACUGGGCGUAAAGCGCGCGUAGGUGGCUUGAUAAGCCGGUUGUGAAAGCCCCGGGCUCAACCUGGGAACGGCAUCCGGAACUGUCAAGCUAGAGUGCAGGAGAGGAAGGUAGAAUUCCCGGUGUAGCGGUGAAAUGCGUAGAGAUCGGGAGGAAUACCAGUGGCGAAGGCGGCCUUCUGGACUGACACUGACACUGAGGUGCGAAAGCGUGGGUAGCAAACAGGAUUAGAUACCCUGGUAGUC